RNAcentral lists this transfer RNA (68 nucleotides) under Spongiocaris panglao. RNAcentral describes it as "tRNA-Ala". Lineage: Eukaryota; Metazoa; Arthropoda; Malacostraca; Decapoda; Spongicolidae. The record is from RNAcentral.
UAAAUUUAUAGUCUAUUUUAUUUGACAUCUAAUUUGCACUUAGAAAGUGCUCUUAAAGCUAAAUUUAU